GACCUCGCAGAUGCCAAUGUUGUGUGCAAGCAAGGGGGCUGUGGAGCUGCUGUGUCUGCCCUGGGCGAGGCCUCUUUUGGGGUGGGGACUGGCCCCAUCUGGCUGGACAAGGUGAACUGCAAGGGAACAGGGUCGUCUCUGUGGAACUGUUGUGCCGAGCCCUGGGGAAACAGUAGAUGCCAGCAUAAGGAAGAUGCUGCUGUGAUCUGCACCCAUGGGACAGAGGCCACUGCAUCCCCACAGAAAACAGAAACACCUCGGCGCCCAUCUCUAACAGGGGGGAGAGACAUGGUGCCCAUUGUCAUCUGCAUUGUCCUGGGGUCCCUUCUCUGUCUCGUCCUGAUCAUUCUGGGGGGAAAGGUGAGAAACACCAGGGCACUGCA
Molecule: long non-coding RNA, 383 nt
Organism: Alligator mississippiensis (American alligator)
Lineage: Eukaryota; Metazoa; Chordata; Crocodylia; Alligatoridae
Exons: 3
Source: RefSeq, a predicted model, not a curated record